Molecule: ribosomal RNA, 292 nt
Filed under: uncultured bacterium
Lineage: Bacteria
Description: partial 16S ribosomal RNA
Rfam family: Bacterial small subunit ribosomal RNA
Source: RNAcentral
GUGUCAGCAGCCGCGGUAAUACGAAGGGGGCUAGCGUUGUUCGGAAUUACUGGGCGUAAAGGGCGCGUAGGCGGCGUGUCAAGUCAGGCGUGAAAGCCCCGGGCUCAACCUGGGAACCGCGCUUGAGACUGGCACGCUCGAGUUCGGGAGAGGACGGCGGAAUUCCCAGUGUAGAGGUGAAAUUCGUAGAUAUUGGGAAGAACACCGACGGCGAAGGCAGCCGUCUGGACCGACACUGACGCUGAGGCGCGAAAGCGUGGGGAGCAAACAGGAUUAGAAACCCGCGUAGUCC